AGUGCCCCGGCCCGUCAUGCUGGAAGUAAUCCAGAGCCCACAGAGGUGCCACCUGCUUCAGAGACUUUCGUUCUUGGGAAGUUGCGGCUCAGCGAGGAGGGAAUUCUGAACCUCUGACCUCGCUUGGAUGUUUACAGCGGCCUCCUGUCUCUGCCCCCAGGCUCACCGCUACUGUCCCUUCACACAGCUACAGACUGCCCUUCCUAAAACAAGGCUAAUCCCCACCAUGUCCCUGACAAAAACUUCCCAAAGGGUCUGCCCUGCCUACCACAAGGACCCUAACGACAGAGGCAUCACUGCAGCCAACCCAGGAUGUGUUCCAGCUAAGAACCUGACUAAAGCCUGCGUGGCCAGAAAAGCCCUUACCCCACUCGAGGGCUUAGGCUUGCUGGGGGUAGGUGGGACCUCCAACCUUCUGCAGAGGCUCGUUCUAUGGGUGCUACGAGUGCUCAGAAGUGCAUUCUGAAGAAAACUCCUUUUAUGACCUGAGGAAUUUAUAGAAGCCUGGGUGUGGAAGAUGAGAGGACUAGGAAUCUCUUCUUGGUGAACACAGGACAAAGCAAGGAUGCCUGUUUUCACCACUUCUAUUCAAUGUUGUACUGGAAGUCCUAGCCAGAGCAAUUAGGAGAAACAAGAACAAGAAGAAAGAAAGAAAA
Eptesicus fuscus (big brown bat) is the source of this 656-nucleotide long non-coding RNA. RefSeq lists it as uncharacterized. NCBI's taxonomy places the organism in Eukaryota, Metazoa, Chordata, Mammalia, Chiroptera, Vespertilionidae. The transcript has 3 exons. The record is from RefSeq and is a predicted model, not a curated record.